UAUGAACGCUAGCUACAGGCUUAACACAUGCAAGUCGAGGGGCAGCAUUUUAGUUUGCUUGCAAACUAAAGAUGGCGACCGGCGCACGGGUGAGUAACACGUAUCCAACCUGCCGAUAACUCGGGGAUAGCCUUUCGAAAGAAAGAUUAAUAUCCGAUAGUAUAUUAAAACCGCAUGGUUUUACUAUUAAAGAAUUUCGGUUAUCGAUGGGGAUGCGUUCCAUUAGUUUGUUGGCGGGGUAACGGCCCACCAAGACUACGAUGGAUAGGGGUUCUGAGAGGAAGGUCCCCCACAUUGGAACUGAGACACGGUCCAAACUCCUACGGGAGGCAGCAGUGAGGAAUAUUGGUCAAUGGACGAGAGUCUGAACCAGCCAAGUAGCGUGAAGGAUGACUGCCCUAUGGGUUGUAAACUUCUUUUAUAUGGGAAUAAAGUAUUCCACGUGUGGGAUUUUGUAUGUACCAUAUGAAUAAGGAUCGGCUAACUCCGUGCCAGCAGCCGCGGUAAUACGGAGGAUCCGAGCGUUAUCCGGAUUUAUUGGGUUUAAAGGGAGCGUAGGUGGAUUGUUAAGUCAGUUGUGAAAGUUUGCGGCUCAACCGUAAAAUUGCAGUUGAAACUGGCAGUCUUGAGUACAGUAGAGGUGGGCGGAAUUCGUGGUGUAGCGGUGAAAUGCUUAGAUAUCACGAAGAACUCCGAUUGCGAAGGCAGCUCACUAGACUGCAACUGACACUGAUGCUCGAAAGUGUGGGUAUCAAACAGGAUUAGAUACCCUGGUAGUCCACACAGUAAACGAUGAAUACUCGCUGUUUGCGAUAUACAGUAAGCGGCCAAGCGAAAGCAUUAAGUAUUCCACCUGGGGAGUACGCCGGCAACGGUGAAACUCAAAGGAAUUGACGGGGGCCCGCACAAGCGGAGGAACAUGUGGUUUAAUUCGAUGAUACGCGAGGAACCUUACCCGGGCUUAAAUUGCAUUUGAAUAAUCUGGAAACAGGUUAGCCGCAAGGCAAAUGUGAAGGUGCUGCAUGGUUGUCGUCAGCUCGUGCCGUGAGGUGUCGGCUUAAGUGCCAUAACGAGCGCAACCCUUAUCUUUAGUUACUAACAGGUCAUGCUGAGGACUCUAGAGAGACUGCCGUCGUAAGAUGUGAGGAAGGUGGGGAUGACGUCAAAUCAGCACGGCCCUUACGUCCGGGGCUACACACGUGUUACAAUGGGGGGUACAGAAGGCAGCUACCUGGCGACAGGAUGCUAAUCCCAAAAACCUCUCUCAGUUCGGAUCGAAGUCUGCAACCCGACUUCGUGAAGCUGGAUUCGCUAGUAAUCGCGCAUCAGCCAUGGCGCGGUGAAUACGUUCCCGGGCCUUGUACACACCGCCCGUCAAGCCAUGAAAGCCGGGGGUACCUGAAGUACGUAACCGCAAGGAGCGUCCUAGGGUAAAACUGGUA
Molecule: ribosomal RNA, 1442 nt
Filed under: uncultured organism
Description: SSU rRNA
Rfam family: Bacterial small subunit ribosomal RNA
Source: RNAcentral